CCUACGGGUGGCAGCAGUGGGGAAUAUUGCACAAUGGGGGAAACCCUGAUGCAGCGACGCCGCGUGAGUGAAGAAGUAUUUCGGUAUGUAAAGCUCUAUCAGCAGGGAAGAAAUAGCGACCUUUGGGUCGCCAGACGGUACCUGACUAAGAAGCCCCGGCGAACUACGUGCCAGCAGCCGCGGUAAUACGUAGGGGGCAAGCGUUAUCCGGAUUUACUGGGUGUAAAGGGAGCGGAGACGGCAGCACAAGUCUGAAGUGAAACGCCGGGGCUUAACCCCGGAACUGCUUUGGAAACUGUGCAGCUAGAGUGCAGGAGAGGUAAGUGGAAUUCCUGGUGUAGCGGUGAAAUGCGUAGAUAUUAGGAGGAACACCAGUGGCGAAGGCGGCUUACUGGACUGUAACUGACGUUGAGGCUCGAAAGCGUGGGGAGCAAACAGGAUUAGAUACCCUGGUAGUC
Molecule: ribosomal RNA, 458 nt
Filed under: uncultured bacterium
Lineage: Bacteria
Description: partial 16S ribosomal RNA
Rfam family: Bacterial small subunit ribosomal RNA
Source: RNAcentral